CGCACAUUGCGCCCUUUGGUAUUCCGAAGGGCAUACCCGUUCGAGCGUCAUUACACCACUCAAGCCUGGCUUGGUAUUGGGCGGCGAGGCAUCCUCGCGCCCCAAUCUCUUCGGCGGGAUCGACCCAAAUUGCAAGCGUUGUAACAUACAAAUUCGCACCGCAAAUUGGGGAUUCAUCUCACGCCGUUAAAUAUUGAACAAGGUUGACCUCGGAUCGGGUAGGGAUACCCGCUGAACUUAA
Molecule: unclassified non-coding RNA, 241 nt
Filed under: Passalora sp.
Lineage: Eukaryota; Fungi; Ascomycota; Dothideomycetes; Mycosphaerellales; Mycosphaerellaceae
Description: partial contains 5.8S ribosomal RNA, internal transcribed spacer 2, and large subunit ribosomal RNA
Source: RNAcentral